RNAcentral lists this ribosomal RNA (517 nucleotides) under uncultured bacterium. Its description in RNAcentral is "bacterial SSU rRNA". It matches the Rfam family "Bacterial small subunit ribosomal RNA", at positions 9 to 507 of the family's 1533-position model. The record is from RNAcentral.
CGAGUUUGAUCCUGGCUCAGAGUGAACGCUGGCGGCAGGCCUAACACAUGCAAGUCGAGCGGCAGCGCGUCCGACCACCUCGGGUGGUCGGAUGGCGGCGAGCGGCGGACGGGUGAGGAAUGCAUCGGAAUCUGCCUCGUUGUGGGGGAUAACGUAGGGAAACUUACGCUAAUACCGCAUACGACCUACGGGUGAAAGUGGGGGACCUUCGGGCCUCACGCGAUGAGAUGAGCCGAUGCCGGAUUAGCUAGUUGGCGGGGUAAAGGCCCACCAAGGCGACGAUCCGUAGCUGGUCUGAGAGGAUGAUCAGCCACACUGGAACUGAGACACGGUCCAGACUCCUACGGGAGGCAGCAGUGGGGAAUAUUGGACAAUGGGGGCAACCCUGAUCCAGCCAUGCCGCGUGUGUGAAGAAGGCCUUCGGGUUGUAAAGCACUUUUGUUGGGGAAGAAACCGGCCGGGUUAAUACCCUGGUUGAAUGACGGUACCCAAAGAAUAAGCACCGGCUAACUUCGUG